AUGCCCUUAAAGGGCAUCGCUCUGAGAAGCCCUGCAGAAGAUCAGGAAGGUGUUCAGUCGGGACCCCAGGUUCACACGAACAAAGAGAGGCAGCUCACUGCAGUCCCGGCUCCAGAGAUCAUCAGUGACCAGACAAAGGGCAGGGACACGCUGGUCCAGAUUGAGAGAGGCUGGACUUUGGGCCUCCCGUGCAGCUGCAGGUGGGCCUGGGCAGGGGCUGGAGGGGGUGACAGGAGGUUUGUGUUCAAGGCUGUGUCACUGUGUUAUGUGUUCGGCGGAGGGACCUUUCUGACCGUCCUAGGUCAGCAAAAGUCUGCACCUUCAGUCACUCUGUUCCCACCCUCCUCUGAGGAGCUCGGCAACAACAAGGCCACACUGGUAUGUCUGGUCAGUGACUUCUACCCUGGAGCCGUGACAGUGGCCUGGAAGGAGAAUGGCAGCCCUGUGUCCCAGGGUGUGGAGACGACCAAGCCCUCCAAACAGAGCAACAACAAGUAUGCGGCCAGCAGCUACCUGAGCAUGUCAGCCAGCAAGUGGAAGUCUGCCAGCCAGUUCAGCUGCCACGUGACGCAUGAUGGCACCACUGUGGACAAGACAGUGGUCCCCUCGGAGUGUUCCUAGGACUCUGAGCCCUCACAUUCUGGGUCUCUGCUUACUCAGAUCUCCCAUUUGCCACCUCUCCACUGUACCCCUGGGACUGCCACCCCUGUCUGCUCAGACUGGGCUGGUUUCAAAGCCUCCCCAUUUCCACUUUUUCUCAAUAAAACCCUGGUCAUUUA
Non-coding RNA from Artibeus jamaicensis (Jamaican fruit-eating bat), 779 nucleotides. The record is from the annotation of a RefSeq genome assembly. Lineage: Eukaryota; Metazoa; Chordata; Mammalia; Chiroptera; Phyllostomidae.